Acanthochromis polyacanthus (spiny chromis) is the source of this 380-nucleotide long non-coding RNA. RefSeq lists it as uncharacterized. The transcript is spliced from 2 exons. NCBI's taxonomy places the organism in Eukaryota, Metazoa, Chordata, Actinopteri, Pomacentridae. The record is from RefSeq and is a predicted model, not a curated record.
GGCAAGUCAUUUCCCGAGGAGCGAUUAAGUUUGAAAAAUUUACAGCAAAUUGAAGAUGGCCGACUUCCUGUUGGGUUUAGGGCGUGGCUGUAAUUGACUUUUUGGUGUGUCCGGAUGUUCUGCAUAUGCCCACCAAAUAUUGUAGCUGUACAUGAAACAUUGUGGCAGUUGGCCUAAUGACUACUUUUUCAACUUUGCAGGUGGCGCUAUAGAGCCAUUUUGCCACGCACAUGCGCAACUCCCAUAAAAUAUCAAAUUUUUCGCCAGUCCUGAUGUGCAUGCCAAAUUUCACGCGUUUUGGAGUAUGAUAAGGCCGCCAAAAAGCCAAUUUACUUUACGGGAGAAAAAAAAAAAAAAAAAAAAAAAAAAAAAAAUAAUAA